This is a long non-coding RNA of Biomphalaria glabrata, 666 nucleotides long. RefSeq lists it as uncharacterized. NCBI's taxonomy places the organism in Eukaryota, Metazoa, Mollusca, Gastropoda, Planorbidae. The record is from RefSeq and is a predicted model, not a curated record. The transcript is spliced from 3 exons.
UCAAUUGUUUUUGUUGGCAGAUAUCAUGGUAGAGAAAUAGGAAUCUACUUAAGUUUUUUAAUGUUUGAUUAGUCAAAAUAUUUCCACUAUUCCUAUUUCCAAUAUCUGCCAGUGUCUGCUAAGUGUAACUAGUUAAGAUUAGGAAAAUGGUGAUUGCAAAGUCUUACAUAUGGACAAAAAGAAUGCUAAAGAUUGGUCUCUUGGGGCUUGAUUCAGUGAAAGAAUGUUGGACUAGCAGAAGUGUUAUGGAGUGUGUGUGUGUUUCUAUGGUGACAGUGGGAAGAGUCAUUUCAGUUGUAAAUUAUUUUGUGCAACAAGUUACUGGAAAAAAGUCAAGCAAGAGAGGUCACUACACUAAGACUUUGUCUUCUCAUAAGAAUGGAUUGUUUUCUCAAAAGAAUGGAUGGCUGCCUGGUCAUGUGGUAUGUGCACUGGACUGUUGUGGGGUCAUCUUGAUGCUCAUAUCUUGCCUGAUGCCAUUUAUUCUGCUGGACGUUUGGUCAAGGAAGUAGAUUCUCUUCAACUCUCAAGGAACAUUCAAAACAUGUCAAACAUUUGACAAGAAUAUCAAGCAAGUGCAGUGUAUAUACCAACAUGAUGAAGAUGUAGACCAACAUGAUGAAGAUGUAGACCAACAUGAAGAUGUAGACCAACAUGAAGAAUGAA